RNAcentral lists this small RNA (174 nucleotides) under Chrysemys picta bellii (western painted turtle). Its description in RNAcentral is "TUC338 (ENSCPBG00000014631.1)". The record is from RNAcentral. Lineage: Eukaryota; Metazoa; Chordata; Testudines; Emydidae.
CUGACAUCCCCAGAGACUGAAGUCUUCUGUUUAUUCCCAGAGCAGGUAUAGCCCAGGCAGCAGCAAUACAGGAUUCCGACACUGCUCCGAUAAUGUUCCUGAAUCCUAUCCAAGAGGACCUAGGAAUGAGAGCUCAGCAGGGAUCAGAUUGGUACUCUUCCACCUUCGCCCACA